Molecule: ribosomal RNA, 249 nt
Filed under: uncultured bacterium
Lineage: Bacteria
Description: partial 16S ribosomal RNA
Rfam family: Bacterial small subunit ribosomal RNA
Source: RNAcentral
CAUGCCGUAAACGAUGAAUGCUAAGUGUUCGGGGGUUUCCACCCCUUAGUGCUGCAGCUAACGCAUUAAGCACUCCGCCUGGGGAGUACGACCGCAAGGUUGAAACUCAAAGGAAUUGACGGGGGCCCGCACAAGCGGUGGAGCAUGUGGUUUAAUUCGAAGCAACGCGAAGAACCUUACCAGGUCUUGACAUCCCAGUGACCACUCUAGAGAUAGAGUUUUCCCUUCGGGGACAUUGGUGACAGGUGG